This 245-nucleotide ribosomal RNA is filed under the name uncultured bacterium. Its description in RNAcentral is "partial 16S ribosomal RNA". It matches the Rfam family "Bacterial small subunit ribosomal RNA", at positions 524 to 768 of the family's 1533-position model. The record is from RNAcentral.
UACGUGGGAUGCAAGCGUUAUCCGGAUUUAUUGGGCGUAAAGAGUUCGUAGGCGUGUUGACGCAUUUCGCUUCAAAGUCCGAGGCUUAACCUCGGGAAGGGGCGAAAUAUGGUCAGCAUCGAGUUGGUUAGGGGGUACUGGAACUGUUGGUGUAGCAGUGAAAUGCGUUGAUAUCAACAGGAACACCAAGGGCGAAGGCAGGUACCUGGGACCACACUGACGCUGAGGAACGAAAGCUAGGGGAG